This 505-nucleotide ribosomal RNA is filed under the name uncultured bacterium. RNAcentral's name for it is "partial 16S ribosomal RNA". It matches the Rfam family "Bacterial small subunit ribosomal RNA", at positions 28 to 507 of the family's 1533-position model. The record is from RNAcentral.
GACGAACGCUGGCGGCGUGCCUAAUACAUGCAAGUAGAACGCACAGUUUAUACCGUAGCUUGCUACACCAUAGACUGUGAGUUGCGAACGGGUGAGUAACGCGUCGGUAACCUGCCUGGUAGCGGGGGAUAACUAUUGGAAACGAUAGCUAAUACCGCAUAAUAUUAAUUAUUGCAUGAUAAUUGAUUGAAAGAUGCAACUGCAUCACUACCAGAUGGACCUGCGUUGUAUUAGCUAGUAGGUGAGGUAACGGCUCACCUAGGCGACGAUACAUAGCCGACCUGAGAGGGUGAGCGGCCACACUGGGACUGAGACACGGCCCAGACUCCUACGGGAGGCAGCAGUAGGGCAUCGUCGGCAAUGGACGAAAGUCUGACCGAGCAACGCCGCGUGAGGGAAGAAGGUUUUCGGAUCGUAAAGCUCGGUUGUAAGAGAAGAACGGGUGUGAGAGUGGAAAGUUCACACUGUGACGGUAUCUUACCAGAAAGGGACGGCUAACUACGUG